This is a long non-coding RNA of Takifugu rubripes (torafugu), 1890 nucleotides long. Lineage: Eukaryota; Metazoa; Chordata; Actinopteri; Tetraodontiformes; Tetraodontidae. The record is from Ensembl.
AGAAAUAAUUGCAGCGGAACUUCAGGCACUGUAUGAAUCAAAGAUUAUAACAAAGGAACAGCAAAAGUACUUACUGGGACCGAAACCACCGCGGCCCAGAUAUUUUUACCUUCUCCCAAAAAUACAUAAACCAAGGAGAAAAUGGACAAUCCCGGAUCGCAUCCCACCUGGCCAACCUAUAGUGUCGGAUUGUGGUAGUGAGAGUUAUGGGGUAGCGGAGUACUUGGAGCACUAUUUGACCCCCCUGUCAACACAACAUCCUAGCUACAUAAAGAACACUCAGCACUUCUUGUCCAAAAUUGGAGCAUUGACAGUGAAGGAACCUUGUUUUCUCUUUACGAUGGAAGUGUGCAGUUUAUACACAAAUAUUGAAAUCCCACGGGGGAUGGGGGCCAUCCGGAAAGUACUAGCACGUCACCCGGACCCAAACCGACCGGAUGACGUCCUUUUCAGACUUUUGGAAAUUAGUCUCACGAGGAAUGAUUUUGUUUUUCAGAAUAAAUUUUAUUUACAGGUCAAGGGAACGGCGAUGGGGAAACGGUUCGCACCAGCAUAUGCAAAUAUAUACAUGGCAGAAUGGGAGGAGGAAGGGUUUAAAAAGUGCAAGCAACUGCCCCUGAUAUACCUGAGGUAUUUGGAUGACAUCUGGGGGGUCUGGACACGGUCGAGGGAGGACUUUGACAACUGGGUAACGAUUAUGAAUGAACACCACGAGUCAAUCAAAGUAGAGGUGACCACACAUGACACGGAAAUAAACUUCCUUGAUACAACGACCUUCAAGGGCCCGAAUUUUUGGGAGACGGGAAGAUUGGACACGAAGAUGUACUUCAAACCGACGGACUCCCAUUCACUUCUCCAUAAAAAAAGUUUUCACCCGAAACAUGUAUUUAGGGGGAUUGUGAAAUCACAGCUGUUACGGUACUCCCGCAUCUGUACACAGAAGCAGGACUGUGAGGAUGCGAGGAAGGUACUGUUUGCAGCCCUGAGAAAGAGAGGUUACUCAAGGGGUUUCCUCCGGGGAAUUAAUAAGUCCUUGGAUCAAGCUCCAACACGGGAGAAAACACAGGGGAAACACGGAGUCCCUUUAGUGGUUACUUACUCCACUUUCGGAAAACAGGUAACCCGGGUAUUACGGAGAAAUUUUGGGAGGAUCCUGAAAGGUACAGCAUUGGAUAGAACAUUUAGGGUGAUCCCAGCCUACAGGGGCAACCCGACCUUAAAACAACUGUUGGUACGGGCAAAAUUGCCGGAAAAGACCGGGAGGGGGACCUCAAAGAUCCGAAAAUAUACAUCAAUAAAGGACCCUGUUACGAAACAUGGAUUUAGGGUACCGAACCAUAUCCCGCAAACACAAGCUAACUGUGUUUACAUUAUCAAAUGUACUAAAUGUGGGAAAUUCUAUGUAGGGGAGAUGGGUAACGGUUUGAACACCAGACUCACCCAACACAAAUAUACAAUAAGGAAGAACCAGGAACAAAAAUCGCAUUUAAUCACUCAUUUUCAGGACCACGGGAUUAGAAAUUUCACCGGGUAUCCACUGGAACACGAUCCGAACUGGACGACAGCUCAGAGAAGGAGAAGGGAGAGGUAUUGGAUUCACAAGCUCCAUAGUUAUUACCCAGUGAGGCUCAACGAACGACGCCCAGGGUUGUCAUCGGAAUAGACAAACUCAGGACAAGGGGAAGGAAAAACAAAGGGAACGCUGGUUUCCUUGGACCCUAGAAAGGGAACGCGGGUUUCCUUGGAUCCUAGAAACGGACUGGGUAUCCUGAAGUCGGGAGAGAGAUAAAGUACAGGGGUUUGGGUUCGUGAUAUUUGCUUGUAAUUUGUGGUUGAAAUUAUUCGGACAUGGUUAAUAUUAACACUUAUAAUUCUAUGAGCACCUUGGGA